GACACACUUCAGUAGUAAGUAGCCUUGUCUUUCUAUUAAUUUCAGUAUAAUUCGAUUUUCUGAUUUAUGCCAUAUUGUUUUGCUUCUCCCCCCUCCCCCUUUGUUCUGUGAUUGUGAAGUUUUGGUAGUUUUAAGUCCUUUGGAGUCCUUUGGCAUGAGUGGUUUCUCUAGAGCAAGUUUUUCAGACCUCAGUCCUCAGUACUUGUGCCAUAGAAUCAUAGAAUGGCUUGGGUUGGAAAGGACCUCAAAGAUCACAUAGUUCCAACCUCUGUGCCAUCUGCAGAGUUACCAACCGCUAAAUUAGGCACUAGAUUAGGUUGCCCAGGUUGUCCAUUCUGUAAAGGCCAAGGAUGUUCUUCUGUGCUGAAAUUGUGGCCCAUUCUUCCCCUGCCUGUUUACCCUGCACAUUUCCAGGCCCUUUGUAUAUAGGAGUGCUGUGCUACACAGUUCUGGGGGACCCAUUGCUACCAUUGUGCACACGCAUGUGUUGACACAGAAUGGAGUGUUUGGUGGAGGGAUGUCCUUCGUCUCUUCUCUCUUCAGAGCAGUUCUGAAUGCCAGCAACACAUUCUCCUCUGGUAUCCUUCGAAUACCUGGGAAUAUCCUUAAAUCCAGUAGG
Molecule: long non-coding RNA, 619 nt
Organism: Numida meleagris (helmeted guineafowl)
Lineage: Eukaryota; Metazoa; Chordata; Aves; Galliformes; Numididae
Exons: 2
Source: RefSeq, a predicted model, not a curated record